CCCGCUGAACUUAAGCAUAUCAAUAAGCGGAGGAAAAGAAACCAACAAGGAUUCCCCUAGUAACGGCGAGUGAAGCGGGAAGAGCUCAAAUUUAAAAUCUGGCAGUCUUUGGUUGCCUGAAUUGUUAUCUAGAGAAGCGUUUUCCGUGCUGGACUGUGUACAAGUUUCCUGGAUACCGAACAUCAUAGAGGGUGAGAAUCCCGUCCUUGACACAGACCCCCAGUACUUUUGUGAUGCGCUCUCGACGAGUCGAGUUGUUUGGGAUUGCAGCUCAAAAUGGGAGGUAAAUUCCUUCUAAAGUCUAAAUAUUGGCGAGAGACCGAUAGCGAACAAGUACCGUGAGGGAAAGAUGAAAAGCACUUUGGAAAGAGAGUUAAACAGUACGUGAAAUUGUUAAAAGGGAAACGCUUGAAGUCAGUCACGAUUGCUUGGACUCAGCCUUACUUCCUGUUGGCGCAUUUCCUUGCAGACUGGCCAGCGUCCAUGUUGUUUGUCCGGUGAAGGGGUGAGAGAAUGUGGCUCCUUUGCGAGUGUUAUAGCUCUUGCUCGUAUGCGGGGAAUGAUAUGGAGAGGAACAGCACACUAUGGUGGUGCUUGUGCUGGCAUAAUGGCUAUCAACGACCCGUCUUGAAACACGG
This 638-nucleotide ribosomal RNA is filed under the name uncultured fungus. Its description in RNAcentral is "eukaryotic LSU rRNA". It matches the Rfam family "Eukaryotic large subunit ribosomal RNA", at positions 24 to 664 of the family's 3401-position model. The record is from RNAcentral. Lineage: Eukaryota; Fungi.